GACGAACGCUGGCGGCGCGCCUAACACAUGCAAGUCGAACGAGCGAGAGGAGGUUUACUUUCUCAAGCGAGUGGCGAACGGGUGAGUAACGCGUGAGGAACCUGCCUCAAAGAGGGGGACAACAGUUGGAAACGACUGCUAAUACCGCAUAAGCCCACGACCCGGCAUCGGGUAGAGGGAAAAGGAGCAAUCCGCUUUGAGAUGGCCUCGCGUCCGAUUAGCUAGUUGGUGAGGUAAUGGCCCACCAAGGCGACGAUCGGUAGCCGGACUGAGAGGUUGAACGGCCACAUUGGGACUGAGACACGGACCAGACUCCUACGGGAGGCAGCAGUGGGGAAUAUUGCACAAUGGGGGAAACCCUGAUGCAGCGACGCCGCGUGGAGGAAGAAGGUCUUCGGAUUGUAAACUCCUGUUGUUGAGGAAGAUAAUGACGGUACUCAACAAGGAAGUGACGGCUAACUACGUG
This 466-nucleotide ribosomal RNA is filed under the name uncultured bacterium. RNAcentral describes it as "partial 16S ribosomal RNA". It matches the Rfam family "Bacterial small subunit ribosomal RNA", at positions 28 to 507 of the family's 1533-position model. The record is from RNAcentral.